RNAcentral lists this ribosomal RNA (253 nucleotides) under uncultured bacterium. RNAcentral describes it as "partial 16S ribosomal RNA". It matches the Rfam family "Bacterial small subunit ribosomal RNA", at positions 524 to 776 of the family's 1533-position model. The record is from RNAcentral.
UACGUAGGGUGCGAGCGUUAAUCGGAAUUACUGGGCGUAAAGCGUGCGCAGGCGGUUUGGUAAGACAGAUGUGGAAUUCCCGGGCUUAGCCUGGGAACUGCAUUUGUGACUGCAAGGCUAGAGUGCGGCAGAGGGGAGUGGAAUUCCGCGUGUAGCAGUGAAAUGCGUAGAUAGGCGGAGGAACACCGAUGGCGAAGGCAACUCCCUGGGCCUGCACUGACGCUCAUGCACGAAAGCGUGGGGAGCAAACAGG